UAAACUAGGAUUAGAUACCCUAUUAUUUUAAAUGUAAAUGUAUAAUACUAAAUUAUUAUAAGUUAUGUUCUUUAAAAUUAAAAAAUUUGGCGGUAUUUUAGUCUUUUCAGAGGAACCUGUCCUGUAAUUGAUAAUCCACGAUUAGAUUAACUUUUUUUUUUAAUUUAUAUAUCAUUGUAGCUUGAAUAUUUUUAUAGAAAUUUAAUAUUCAAAAUUUUUUAUAAAAAAAUAAAUCAGAUCAAGGUGUAGUUUAUGAAAAAGUAGAGAUGGGUUACAUUAAAUUUAUUUUAGGAUAUUUUUUUUUAAAAAAAAUUGAAUUUGGAUUUGAUAGUAAUUAUUUGAGUUUUAAAGUUAUGAUUUUAGCUCUAAAAUAUGUACACAUCGCCCGUCGCUCUUAA
This 398-nucleotide ribosomal RNA is filed under the name Callosobruchus phaseoli. RNAcentral's name for it is "partial 12S small subunit ribosomal RNA". Lineage: Eukaryota; Metazoa; Arthropoda; Insecta; Coleoptera; Chrysomelidae. The record is from RNAcentral.